CUCAUAGCGUAUAUUAAAGUUGUUGCAGUUAAAAAGCUCGUAGUUGAACUUCUGGCUAUUCUUCCAGCUGGCUUCGGUCGCUGUAAGAGUGGUCAUCCGCUUGGGAACUACGUUCGAACUUCACUGUUCGGCGUAAGGAACAGGCAUUUUACUUAGAAAAAAUUAGAGUGUUCAAGGCAGGCUAUCGCCCUGAAUACACAAGCUUGGAAUAAUGAAAUAGGACUACUUCCAUUUUAUUGGUUAUUGGAAUUAGUAAUGAUUAAUAGGGACAGUUGGGGACAUUAGUAUUUAAUUGUCAGAGGUGAAAUUCUUGGAUUUAUUAAAGACUAACUUAUGCGAAAGCAUUUGUCAAGGAUGUUUUCAUUAAUCAAGAACGAAAGUUAGGGGAUCAAAGACGAUCAGAUACCGUCCUAGUCUUAACUAUAAACUAUACCGACUAGGGAUUGGCCGGGUCUCUUUAACCGGGUCAGCACCUUAUGAGAAAUCAAAGUCUAUGGGUUCUGGGGGGAGUAUGGUCGCAAGGCUGAAACUUAAAGGAAUUGACGGAAGGGCACCACCAGGAGUGGAGCCUGCGGCUUAAUUUGACUCAACACGGGGAAACUUACCAGGUCAAGACAUAAGUGGGAUUGACAGAUUGAGAGCUCUUUCUUGAUUCUAUGGGUGGUGGUGCAUGGCCGUUCUUAGUUGGUGGAGUGAUUUGUCUGGUUA
Molecule: ribosomal RNA, 708 nt
Filed under: uncultured eukaryote
Lineage: Eukaryota
Description: SSU rRNA
Rfam family: Eukaryotic small subunit ribosomal RNA
Source: RNAcentral